CCUACGGGAGGCUGCAGUGGGGAAUAUUGGGCAAUGGAGGCAACUCUGACCCAGCAACGCCGCGUGAAUGAUGAAGGUCUUCUGAUUGUAAAGUUUUUUUCUAAGGGAAGAAGAAAGUGACGGUACCUUAGUAAUAUGCCUCGCCUAACUACGUGCCAGCAGCCGCGGUAAUACGUAGGAGGCAAGCGUUAUCCGGAAUGACUGGGCGUAAAGGGUGCGUAGGUGGUUUGACAAGUUAGUAGCGAAACUCCGGGGCUCAACUUCGGAACUACUGCGAAAACUGUUGGACUUGAGUGCAGGAGAGGCGAUCGGAAUUCGUGGUGUAGCGGUGGAAUGCGUAGAUAUUAGGAAGAACACCGGUGGCGAAGGCAGAUUGCUAGACUGUAACUGACACUGAGGCACGAAAGCGUGGGGAGCAAACAGGAUUAGAUACCCCAGUAGUC
This 443-nucleotide ribosomal RNA is filed under the name uncultured bacterium. Its description in RNAcentral is "partial 16S ribosomal RNA". It matches the Rfam family "Bacterial small subunit ribosomal RNA", at positions 338 to 795 of the family's 1533-position model. The record is from RNAcentral.